This 131-nucleotide ribosomal RNA is filed under the name Aquibacillus halophilus. RNAcentral describes it as "partial 23S ribosomal RNA". It matches the Rfam family "Bacterial large subunit ribosomal RNA", at positions 2799 to 2925 of the family's 2925-position model. Lineage: Bacteria; Bacillati; Bacillota; Bacilli; Caryophanales; Bacillaceae. The record is from RNAcentral.
UCUAGAUGAGACUUCCCAUCAUUUUAAAUGAGUAAGAUCCCUCAGAGACGAUGAGGUUGAUAGGUUCGAGGUGGAAGCGUGGUGACACGUGUAGCUGACGAAUACUAAUCGAUCGAGGACUUAACUAAAAU